GAUGAACGCUGGCGGCGUGCCUAAUACAUGCAAGUCGAGCGAACGGACGAGAAGCUUGCUUUUCUGAUGUUAGCGGCGGACGGGUGAGUAACACGUGGAUAACCUACCUAUAAGACUGGGAUAACUUCGGGAAACCGGAGCUAAUACCGGAUAAUAUUUUGAACCGCAUGGUUCAAAAGUGAAAGACGGUCUUGCUGUCACUUAUAGAUGGAUCCGCGCUGCAUUAGCUAGUUGGUAAGGUAACGGCUUACCAAGGCAACGAUGCAUAGCCGACCUGAGAGGGUGAUCGGCCACACUGGAACUGAGACACGGUCCAGACUCCUACGGGAGGCAGCAGUAGGGAAUCUUCCGCAAUGGGCGAAAGCCUGACGGAGCAACGCCGCGUGAGUGAUGAAGGUCUUCGGAUCGUAAAACUCUGUUAUUAGGGAAGAACAUAUGUGUAAGUAACUGUGCUCAUCUUGACGGUACCUAAUCAGAAAGCCACGGCUAACUACGUG
This 497-nucleotide ribosomal RNA is filed under the name uncultured bacterium. Its description in RNAcentral is "partial 16S ribosomal RNA". It matches the Rfam family "Bacterial small subunit ribosomal RNA", at positions 28 to 507 of the family's 1533-position model. The record is from RNAcentral.